UUUAAGUGUAACCAUAAGUUUUCGUGUUCAACUUUGAUCAUCCGUCUUAUUUGAAUUUUUUAAAUAAUAUUUUUAUUGUUAUUAGAUGAUAAAACAUGAUUAAUAUUUUAUGCAUGACUUGUCUUUUUAAUUUUUUUAAAAUUUUUUUAAAUAAGACGGACGGUUAAACGUUGGGCACGGAAACC
This 185-nucleotide microRNA precursor is filed under the name Oryza sativa Indica Group (long-grained rice). RNAcentral's name for it is "MIR812 microRNA precursor family". It matches the Rfam family "MIR812 microRNA precursor family". Lineage: Eukaryota; Viridiplantae; Streptophyta; Magnoliopsida; Poales; Poaceae. The record is from Rfam by way of RNAcentral.